CCCUUAGAUGUUCUGGGCCGCACACGCGCUACACUGAAGGAGGCAGCGUGUACUCCUGGAUCGAAAGAUUUGGGUAACCCGCGAAUCUCCUUCGUGCUAGGGAUUGAGGUUUGCAAUUAUCCUUCAUGAACGAGGAAUUCCCAGUAAGUGCAAGUCAUAAGCUUGCGCUGACUACGUCCCUGCCCUUUGUACACACCGCCCGUCACUACUACCGAUUGAAUGAUUUAGUGAGGACUUCGGACUGGGACCGAUGCGGCUUUCGGGCUGCGUCGGUAUUCUGGAAAGAUGUCCAAACUGUAUCAUUUAGAGGAAGUAAAAGUCGUAACA
RNAcentral lists this ribosomal RNA (327 nucleotides) under uncultured eukaryote. RNAcentral's name for it is "partial 18S ribosomal RNA". It matches the Rfam family "Eukaryotic small subunit ribosomal RNA", at positions 1470 to 1796 of the family's 1831-position model. The record is from RNAcentral.